AACGAACGCUGGCGGCAUGCCUAACACAUGCAAGUCGAACGAGACCUUCGGGUCUAGUGGCGCACGGGUGCGUAACGCGUGGGAACCUGCCCUUAGGUUCGGAAUAACUCCCCGAAAGGUGUGCUAAUACCGGUUAAUGUCUUCGGACCAAAGAUUUCUCGCCUUUGGAUGGGCCCGCGUUGGAUUAGCUAGUUGGUAGUGUAAAAGCCUACCAAGGCGACGAUCCAUAGCUGGUCUGGGAGGAUGAUCAGCAACACUGGGACUGAGACACGGCCCAGAAUGGUACGGGAGGGAGGAGUGGGGAAUAUUGGACAAUGGGCGAAAGUCUGAUCCAGCAAUGCCGGGUGAGUGACGAAGGCCUUAGGGUUGUAAAGCUGUUUUACCCGGGAUGAUAAUGACAGUACCGGGAGAAUAAGCUCCGGCUAACUCCGUG
This 433-nucleotide ribosomal RNA is filed under the name uncultured bacterium. Its description in RNAcentral is "partial 16S ribosomal RNA". It matches the Rfam family "Bacterial small subunit ribosomal RNA", at positions 29 to 507 of the family's 1533-position model. The record is from RNAcentral.